RNAcentral lists this transfer RNA (72 nucleotides) under Hadesarchaea archaeon. Its description in RNAcentral is "tRNA-Ala". It matches the Rfam family "tRNA". Rfam says of the family: Transfer RNA (tRNA) molecules are approximately 80 nucleotides in length. Their secondary structure includes four short double-helical elements and three loops (D, anti-codon, and T loops). The record is from RNAcentral. Lineage: Archaea; Methanobacteriati; Hadarchaeota (SeqCode); Hadarchaeia (SeqCode).
GGGCCCAUAGCUCAGCGGUAGAGCGCCCGCUUCGCAGGCGGGAGGUCGCGGGUUCGAAUCCCGCUGGGUCCA